GAUGAACGCUGGCGGCGUGCCUAAUACAUGCAAGUCGAGCGAACAGAUGAGGAGCUUGCUCCUCUGACGUUAGCGGCGGACGGGUGAGUAACACGUGGAUAACCUACCUAUAAGACUGGGAUAACUUCGGGAAACCGGAGCUAAUACCGGAUAAUAUAUUGAACCGCAUGGUUCAAUAGUGAAAGACGGUUUUGCUGUCACUUAUAGAUGGAUCCGCGCCGCAUUAGCUAGGUGGUAAGGUAAAGGCUUACCAAGGCAACGAUGCGUAGCCGACCUGAGAGGGUGAUCGGCCACACUGGAACUGAGACACGGUCCAGACUCCUACGGGAGGCAGCAGUAGGGAAUCUUCCGCAAUGGGCGAAAGCCUGACGGAGCAACGCCGCGUGAGUGAUGAAGGUCUUCGGAUCGUAAAACUCUGUUAUUAGGGAAGAACAAAUGUGUAAGUAACUAUGCACGUCUUGACGGUACCUAAUCAGAAAGCCACGGCUAACUACGUG
RNAcentral lists this ribosomal RNA (497 nucleotides) under uncultured bacterium. Its description in RNAcentral is "partial 16S ribosomal RNA". It matches the Rfam family "Bacterial small subunit ribosomal RNA", at positions 28 to 507 of the family's 1533-position model. The record is from RNAcentral.